This 568-nucleotide ribosomal RNA is filed under the name Triticum aestivum (bread wheat). Its description in RNAcentral is "partial small subunit ribosomal RNA". Lineage: Eukaryota; Viridiplantae; Streptophyta; Magnoliopsida; Poales; Poaceae. The record is from RNAcentral.
GCAAGUCGUCGGUAGAGUUAUAACGUCGAUCGGCCUUUGGGGGGUCUCUGCUUCCGGGAGGUAGAGUUCCUGAGCUGUACGGCGGCUUUCGACGUCGCUACUGUUUGUUUGGUCCCGGCGGCCGUGCCGGAGGACAGGGCAGAGGCCGGGGCCGCAUAUGACGCGUCGGCCGACCCGUUUUGCGCGGCGGAUGUCGAUUUCCCAACAGCUUCUGCUGGUGAGGACCGGUCUUGUUCUCGUUCUCGUAGUCCGGGCGACUUCUCGCAUCAUGAUGACCACCAUUUCGCUGUCAGCGGUUCCCGUACAGAUGAUUCCCCACUUACUAGGUGCACGGAUCCGUCGGAACACGCCUUCUUCUUGGUACACUUAGAAUCAAGUAGGUUCAGUAUACAGUCUAACUUAUUACGGUGUAGCUGAGACAUGACCUUCUUCGAGACGUCUAUAGCUCACAUCAAGCACUUUCACCAGUGCGCAUUUGUUCACCACCAAGUAAACAAGUACGUACAAGCUAAGAUAGAUAUAACAAUAACAUUAAAUAUGGCACCAGUAUUAUAUAUGUAUAUAUGAC